UGGGGUAUCGCCAAGCGGUAAGGCAGCGGCUUUUGAUGCCGCCAUUCCCUGGUUCGAAUCCAGGUACCCCAG
Transfer RNA from Enterovibrio coralii, 72 nucleotides. It matches the Rfam family "tRNA". Rfam says of the family: Transfer RNA (tRNA) molecules are approximately 80 nucleotides in length. Their secondary structure includes four short double-helical elements and three loops (D, anti-codon, and T loops). Lineage: Bacteria; Pseudomonadati; Pseudomonadota; Gammaproteobacteria; Vibrionales; Vibrionaceae. The record is from Rfam.